CCUACGGGUGGCAGCAGUGAGGAAUAUUGGUCAAUGGACGAGAGCCUGAACCAGCCAAGUAGCGUGAAGGAUGACUGCCCUAUGGGUUGUAAACUUCUUUUAUAUGGGAAUAAAAUGUUCCACGUGUGGGAUUUUGUAUGUACCUUAUGAAUAAGGAUCGGCUAACUCCGUGCCAGCAGCCGCGGUAAUACGGAGGAUCCGAGCGUUAUCCGGAUUUAUUGGGUUUAAAGGGAGCGUAGGUGGAUUGUUAAGUCAGUUGUGAAAGUUUGCGGCUCAACCGUAAAAUUGCAGUUGAAACUGGGAGUCUUGAGUACAGUAGAGGUAGGCGGAAUGCGUGGUGUAGCGGUGAAAUGCUUAGAUAGCACGAAGAACUCCGAUUGCGAAGGCAGCCCACUGGACUGCAACUGACGCUGAGGCUCGAAAGUGUGGGUAUCAAACAGGAUUAGAUACCCCAGUAGUC
This 460-nucleotide ribosomal RNA is filed under the name uncultured bacterium. Its description in RNAcentral is "partial 16S ribosomal RNA". It matches the Rfam family "Bacterial small subunit ribosomal RNA", at positions 338 to 795 of the family's 1533-position model. The record is from RNAcentral.